Molecule: ribosomal RNA, 460 nt
Filed under: uncultured bacterium
Lineage: Bacteria
Description: partial 16S ribosomal RNA
Rfam family: Bacterial small subunit ribosomal RNA
Source: RNAcentral
CCUACGGGAGGCAGCAGUGAGGAAUAUUGGUCAAUGGGCGGAAGCCUGAACCAGCCAAGUCGCGUGAGGGAAUAAGGCCCUACGGGUCGUAAACCUCUUUUGCCGGGGAGCAAGGUCGGGGACGUGUCCCGGCCCGGAGAGUACCCGGAGAAAAAGCAUCGGCAAACUCCGUGCCAGCAGCGGCGGAAUUACGGGGGUUGCGAGCGUUAUCCGGAUUUAUUGGGUUUAAAGGGUGCGAGGGCGGGCUUUUAGUUCAGCGGUAAAUAUUCGGGGCUCAACCCGGUCCGGCCGUUGAUACUGGUGGCCUUGAGUGGGGGAGAGGAAGGCGGAAUGCGUGGUGUAGCGGUGAAAUGCGUAGAUAUCACGCAGAACACCGAUUGCGAAGGCAGCCUUCCGGUGCCCAACUGACGCUGAGGCACGAAAGUGCGGGGAGCGAACAGGAUUAGAUACCCCGGUAGUC